This 746-nucleotide ribosomal RNA is filed under the name Pediococcus pentosaceus. RNAcentral's name for it is "bacterial SSU rRNA". It matches the Rfam family "Bacterial small subunit ribosomal RNA", at positions 51 to 752 of the family's 1533-position model. Lineage: Bacteria; Bacillati; Bacillota; Bacilli; Lactobacillales; Lactobacillaceae. The record is from RNAcentral.
AUACAUGCAAGUCGAACGAACUUCCGUUAAUUGAUUAUGACGUACUUGUACUGAUUGAGAUUUUAACACGAAGUGAGUGGCGAACGGGUGAGUAACACGUGGGUAACCUGCCCAGAAGUAGGGGAUAACACCUGGAAACAGAUGCUAAUACCGUAUAACAGAGAAAACCGCAUGGUUUUCUUUUAAAAGAUGGCUCUGCUAUCACUUCUGGAUGGACCCGCGGCGUAUUAGCUAGUUGGUGAGGUAAAGGCUCACCAAGGCAGUGAUACGUAGCCGACCUGAGAGGGUAAUCGGCCACAUUGGGACUGAGACACGGCCCAGACUCCUACGGGAGGCAGCAGUAGGGAAUCUUCCACAAUGGACGCAAGUCUGAUGGAGCAACGCCGCGUGAGUGAAGAAGGGUUUCGGCUCGUAAAGCUCUGUUGUUAAAGAAGAACGUGGGUAAGAGUAACUGUUUACCCAGUGACGGUAUUUAACCAGAAAGCCACGGCUAACUACGUGCCAGCAGCCGCGGUAAUACGUAGGUGGCAAGCGUUAUCCGGAUUUAUUGGGCGUAAAGCGAGCGCAGGCGGUCUUUUAAGUCUAAUGUGAAAGCCUUCGGCUCAACCGAAGAAGUGCAUUGGAAACUGGGAGACUUGAGUGCAGAAGAGGACAGUGGAACUCCAUGUGUAGCGGUGAAAUGCGUAGAUAUAUGGAAGAACACCAGUGGCGAAGGCGGCUGUCUGGUCUGCAACUGACGCUGAGGC